UGGGGAAUAUUGGACAAUGGGGGAAACCCUGAUCCAGCCAUGCCGCGUGUGUGAAGAAGGCCUUUUGGUUGUAAAGCACUUUAAGCAGUGAAGAAGACCUAACGGUUAAUACCCGUUAGCGAUGACAUUAGCUGCAGAAUAAGCACCGGCUAACUCUGUGCCAGCAGCCGCGGUAAUACAGAGGGUGCAAGCGUUAAUCGGAAUUACUGGGCGUAAAGCGAGCGUAGGUGGCUUGAUAAGUCAGAUGUGAAAUCCCCGGGCUUAACCUGGGAACUGCAUCUGAUACUGUUAGGCUAGAAUAGGUGAGAGGAAGGUAGAAUUCCAGGUGUAGCGGUGAAAUGCGUAGAGAUCUGGAGGAAUACCGAUGGCGAAGGCAGCCUUCUGGCAUCAUAUUGACACUGAGGUUCGAAAGCGUGGGUAGCAAACAGG
RNAcentral lists this ribosomal RNA (429 nucleotides) under uncultured bacterium. RNAcentral describes it as "bacterial SSU rRNA". It matches the Rfam family "Bacterial small subunit ribosomal RNA", at positions 355 to 776 of the family's 1533-position model. The record is from RNAcentral.